GGAGGAAAAGAAACCAACAGGGAUUCCCUUAGUAACGGCGAGUGAACCGGGAAAAGCUCAAAUUUGAAAUCUGCCAACAGGCCGAGUUGUAAUUUGUAGAUGGCUACACUGCAUAAUAGUAGAUGCUCAAGUUCUUUGGAAAAAGACAUCAUGGAGGGUGACAAUCCCGUGAGGCAUGUUACUAGGAGCAUAUAGUGGGCUUUCUAAGAGUCGAGUUGUUUGGGAAUGCAGCUCAAAGUGCGUGGUGAAUACCAUGUAAAGCUAAAUAUGGACGAGAGACCGAUAGCGAACAAGUACUGUGAAGGAAAGAUGAAAAGCACUCCGAAAGGAGAGUGAAAUAGUACGUGAAAUUGUUAAAGUGGAAGGGCUUGAGAUCAGAAUUGGUAGUUUGGGUUCCACGUCCUCUUGGGGGCGUGUACUCCCUUUCCACCGGGCCAGCGGGAGUUUCGUCUCUUGGGUAAAAGCAGUGGAAUGUAGCAGCUUGUCUGUAUUAUAGCCUCUGUUCAUACAAGACGUCGAGACUUGAUUUGUUGGCGUAAUGAUCUCUAGCCACCCGUCUUG
Molecule: ribosomal RNA, 561 nt
Filed under: Wickerhamiella pararugosa
Lineage: Eukaryota; Fungi; Ascomycota; Dipodascomycetes; Dipodascales; Trichomonascaceae
Description: partial large subunit ribosomal RNA
Rfam family: Eukaryotic large subunit ribosomal RNA
Source: RNAcentral